This 542-nucleotide long non-coding RNA is filed under the name Callithrix jacchus (white-tufted-ear marmoset). RNAcentral's name for it is "lncRNA (ENSCJAG00000053941.2)". Lineage: Eukaryota; Metazoa; Chordata; Mammalia; Primates; Cebidae. The record is from RNAcentral.
UCUCCUGCUCUCGGAGCCACUGCCCCACCCCCGCCGUGGGGGGGCGCCGAGGAGGGAGCGGGCGUCUGAGCGCGGAGGCGUGCGGGGAGCGGGCUGGGGAGCGGCGGUCGCUACGGAUCCCCUUGCUCUGACGGCAGCUCAGACGCCCGCGGAGGCGGCUCCGCGGGGCGAGCACGGAAGGGGGCGAGUGCCGGGACCCCUCCCCCUCCGCUCGCGGCGCGCCGCGCGCCCCCGCGUCGCCUGGCGCGCCCCCGCGCCCUCGCGCCGGCCCGGGCAGACACCUACGCAGACGCGAAAGUGAAAGGGGGGUGACCCGGCCCGGCGGGCUACAGGCGGCGCGCGGGCACGCGGCAGGGGGCGGAGGACGGAAGGGUGAACCGGGUUCCCAGGAUUCUCCCGCGCCCGCUGCUCCUCUGCGGAGCCUCCCCGGAGUCCCACGUCCCCACCCCGGCCACGCAGAUCAGCACGUCAGGAGAUAUGUAUGCGUGUGCUUGUGUGUGCGCGCGUGUUCACGCGCACUCGCGGGUUUGCGAGGGGCAUAG